Molecule: non-coding RNA, 70 nt
Organism: Podarcis lilfordi (Lilford's wall lizard)
Lineage: Eukaryota; Metazoa; Chordata; Lepidosauria; Squamata; Lacertidae
Source: the annotation of a GenBank genome assembly
GUCCCUAGCUCAGCAGUAGAGUAUUUGCCUUCAGUGCUGAAGGUCCCAGGUUCAGUCCCUGGUGUCUCCA